UAGCAUUUCAUAUAUAUUAUGUAUUUUCCAUUAUAAAUAUGCAUUUUUAUGUACUACUUCCGUUCACUUUUAUCUAUCGUUUAAGGUUUUUGCACGGUGAUUAAGAAAGCAAUUAAAUCAGCAAAAUUAUAACUGUUCAUGAUUUUGGGAGCAUGCGGACAGAAGUAAUCAAAAUCCUAUAAUGCCUGUGUCCAUAGUUAAUUACACAUAUUUUUAGAAGAUGAAAUGGCCAUUAUUGAAAAAUGAAAGAAAACUACAGGCUUAGACUGGUGGUCACUUGCGCAAGGUCCUGAUGCCCCUUACCCUCCUUUGUAAGCCAGAAAAAAAAAAAAAA
Molecule: unclassified non-coding RNA, 334 nt
Filed under: Hevea brasiliensis (rubber tree)
Lineage: Eukaryota; Viridiplantae; Streptophyta; Magnoliopsida; Malpighiales; Euphorbiaceae
Source: RNAcentral